Molecule: long non-coding RNA, 4399 nt
Organism: Anarrhichthys ocellatus (wolf-eel)
Lineage: Eukaryota; Metazoa; Chordata; Actinopteri; Perciformes; Anarhichadidae
Exons: 4
Source: RefSeq, a predicted model, not a curated record
CUUUUACGCCCUGAAGACCAUUGGAGUGAUCAAUGCAGACGUAAAGUUAGACAACAUCAUGCUGGUGGACAGUAAAGCGCAGCCACUCAGGGUGAAGCUCAUCGACUUCGGACUGGCUGUUCCGUCCUGUAGUGUGACGCAGGGCAAACGUCACCAAACAAUAUACUACAGGGCUCCAGAAAUUAUCUUGGUGUUGUGAUGGCGAUCAUGGUGCUCGGUGAAACGCUCUUCCCAGGCUGCAGUAAUACGAUACGACCAUCAUCACCGACAGCUCAAGUACCCCGGCUUCCUUCAGUCUCAUCGCCAGAUUGUUUCGUCAGCUCAGUGAUUCCUGUGCCAUGUCGCCGCCCAGCCGCCGCCACUCACACCGCCUCACCUUCCUACCUGCAUGUUCCACGGCUCCACAAACAACUAAAUAAAACCUUUUAUUUCACCUACCCUGUCGUCCCGGUGUCUGCGGAUGGGUCCAGAAUAACCGACCGUAACAGUUCUGACUCCUCAUGAUGAAAUGUGGUGACGAUAUCUGUGACAUCAAGAAUUUAUGAUCAUUAGCAUGUGAUGCAUUUCAUUUAAAUUGUUCCUUUGGUGAUCAUUAACAUGUAACGGAACUUAUAGUAGCUUUGUGCCGUCGGAGUUUAAAAGUUGGUGAGACUAUUUCCUCCUCAUGUCGGCCAUAUCGGAUUUUUUUUAAACCACAAAUAGCGGAUGAGUUCCUAUAGUCAGGUGUCUGUUGAACUGCUUGUGUCGUAAUUCCACAGCUCCAGUACCAGCAGUGGAUUUCACUCAACCUCAGAUGCAUUACUUCCAGGUGUUAUCUUGGUGCAGCCUGCACCAGCUGAAUGCUGCCGGGGGUGGAAUGAGGACAGCGAGUGAAUAUUGGUGAGAUGAUUUUCUCUGGACAUGUGAGUCAUCGGAAAAUGCCAACUAGGAAGUCCGAUAUUAACUGUGUGUGUCUUAGUUCAUCGGAUCGGCAGGACGACCUCUCCCCCAAAGGGGCUAAAUGUGACCCCCUCCCAUUUUAACAGUGGGCUGUAACAUGGAACAGGAACACAAAGAAUGCCCUUCCACCACAUGUGGUAAAUGCUUGCCUCCAUGCGUGUCUGAAUUGUUGAGUUCUUUCACAUUGUGCUGGAAUCUUCUGAAAUUUCCACUUAAAGUGGGACCAGGCAGCAGCAGCUCAUUGAGGUUGUCUCCCUUAUACGCAAAAGAGCAAUUGAAAACAAUCCCGUACCCUCCGUUUCCACACCGUUGCUGUCAGCAGCGAUCAGGUGAGGCUGCUCCCUGAGGACAAGCCUUUGCUUCUUGUGGCGCGACCUGAAGAAAGAGGAACCUCCAAGCAUCUACACAUGGCAAGUCCUUCCGUUUGGCACCACCUGCAGCCCCUGCUGUGCAACUUUCUCGCUGCAGAAACAUGUGUUUGACCACAGUCAGCCAGAUGAGGAUGUCCGUAUUUCCAUAGACAGGUUCUUUUUAUGUGGACAACAUCCUGCAGAGUCUCCCAUCUGUUGAAGAAGCCCGUCACCUGGUAGAAAAAACUGACGACAUUGCUGGCUACAGGUGGAUUUGAACUAUGCCAUUGGGCCAAUAACACCCCUGGUCAUCAGUUGCCUGCCCAGAGAAGCCAGAUCCGAAAACAGUGAGUUGUGGCUCAACGAGUCAGGCACAGACCCACAAGAGCUCGCCCUGUGGCUCCGCUGGCUUUGCAAUUCAGACAUCUUGAGGUAUAAAUAUCGGAUGCUGGAUAGACCCAAACCCACCAUGAAGAAUAUAUACCGGGUCUUGGCACGCCUUUGCGACCUAUUGGGCUUUAUUGUCCCCUUCACGAUGCGGGCUAAGAUCCUUGUGCAGCACUUAUGGGGAAAGCAAAGAGAUUGAGACGACCCAUCACUGCCUGAUGAUGUGCUGAAGCCAUGGCUGAUGUGGGAGGAGUUGCAGCAUCUGUCUCAGAUUUUACUGCUUCGCUGCUUUUUUGGGCCCUGAGAUGGACACUUCAAACCUCCAGCGAGACCUGAACAUCUUUGCUGAUCAUUCAGAGAAAGCUUACGGCUCAGUAGCCUCCCUGCAUGCAGAGAACUCACAUGGCCGUGUGGAAGUGUCUUUCCUAACUGCCAAAUUUAGGGUGGCUCCAAAGAAACAGGAAUCCGUGCCGAGGCUAACGUCUGGGCCUGGAGGUACAUGCACUCUGUCAACAGCUCAGCUGAUGACAUCACGCGAGGGAAGACACUGUUUGAACUGUCUGGUAAAAGUAGGUCAUGGAGCGGCAGCAGAUCAAGACAGUCUUCCUGCAGAAGAUUUCCCUGAGGAGUUCCUCUUGUGUGCCCUAGGCUGCUCUCCCUAGCCCCGGACUAUGAUGAGGCUGUGGGUCUCAUCCAGGUUAGAGGAAGGCUCCGCCGCAGCGACCAGCUAGAGCCAGAUGCCAUCCACCCAGUGGUGCUGAACAUAAAGUGACCCAGCUCAUCAUUCAGGGCUUAGACAAGGGCCUCCAUCCUUCAGGAUCAGAGCGUCUCUUUGCAGAGCUGCGCCGCAAAUACUGGAUUCUGCAUGGCCGUGAAGCUGUGAAACUCCAUCAGCACUCCUGACCGGACUGCCAGAGGUGAAGCGCCAUUCCAGUUGUGCCCAGGACGGCAGACCUCUCCCAGUCCAGACUGAGGCUGCUGAAGCCCUUAUUUUACUCCACAGGCACAGAUUAUUUGGGCCCUUCACAGUGAGGGUCGGCCGUUGCCACGGGAAGAGAUGGGGCAUACUGUUGAAGUGCCUGACAACACGGGCCAUGCACCUAGAUGUUUUGUCUAGCCUGGACACCGGCUCCUUUUUGAUGGCUCUACGCCGCUUUAUUGCAUGAAGAAGCUGAUCAGAAAACAAAUUUCAAAGGAGAGAGAGAGAACUCGAGGAGGCAUUCAAAACCAGUGGCGGCUGGUCAAUAGAGGGCGCUAGGGCGGUGCCUCCCCUUGAGCCACAAAGAAUAAAUUGUCAAUAUUUGUUUUUGAAAUAUGGAAUGCACACAGUAAUAUGUGUAAAAUAUAAUAUCUGUGCAAGAUAUAUGCUUUUUCCAUAUUUUCUUAGUUGUCCUCAGUCUGGUUUGCUUAACUUGGUCAUGGAGGCAUCAACAUUUCAUUGAGACCUGUAAAUUAACAGUGAAAACUCAUAGCUUAAUUCAACACCAUUAUUCCUAAUUACACUUCAUGUUUACGUCUCCUGAUCUUUACUUCCCUAUUGGUUUCCGAACAAACAAGGUCAAUUUAUCUCAAUAAAUAAACAUGUUCUGUUAUACUAUAUUAUAUACUAUAUGUGUGUUUUAUAUUAUACUGAAUUGCCUGUGAGGGUGUUUAUGUGAAUGUUCGGAGUUCACUUUUUCUUUGUUCUCUGCACAUGUAAGCAAAGUUCAAAUCUGUGUAAGAUUGCCAAUAUUUAUGGAUGAAUAAAGUACAGAAAAUGACGUUUGCUAGUUCAUUCAUGCCAUUCAUCCUAAUGAAGGAAAGGGAGAUUCUGCUUAGAAAUGUAUACACUUUACAGCUUAUUCAGCAAGAUGUCUUUCAUCUUGCAUGUUUGUUACUUACAAAGCAAUGUUUGUACAAAGAUUUAGAAAUCAUGCCUCAGUUACACUCUUAUUUCUGAUUUGUAUUUAUUCAUAUCAGGCAUCUACUAUACAUCUAUGCUGACAUGUAAAGUUGCAUUGUAGACUUGUAUGGUAUAAUGACUUGUUACUUUAUAUAGAGGUUUUACUAAUUAUUUAAUGUAUAUCUGUUUCAGAACCACACACUCACUUGGUUACUUGGUACUGUCAAUAAACCUCUCAAAAGGAACAUCUUAUCUGGAGUGCAUUCUGAUAGAUGCCCCCUGGUGGCCACAACUUUUAAUGAACCAGUAAAAUGAUACAGUCUCUCCCAGUCAAUCUAACAACCACUGCCCUCCACACACCACUGCCCUCCACACACCACUGCCCUCUAUUCCAAACAAUGUGUCAAUCAGGUUUCAUGACCGCUAAAUUAGACACGGGAAACACCAACAUAUUUUCCUGUAUACCUUUUUAGCAAGGAAAGGUUGUUGUAAAAACAACAUUUUAUCAUAUACAAUAACAAAUCAUAUCGAAAUUGCAUGGUAUAAUCUCUGAACUGCCAAAAAAAGUUACCGUUUUCUGAAGCUGUACGAUUAGCAUUAUUGGUAAAAACAGAAGUAAAAAAGACAUUUCUAUAAAAUCAGUUGAGAAACACAAAAUGCUGAUUUGAGAUUAAAUGAUGUACAGUAAGUGAAUAAAUUACAUGUAUCAGCUGCAAAAACAAAUAAAAAGAAAAAAAACAUUUCACGAGGCUUUGAAUUUUAUAUAUUUGAAAACAGCAGCGUCAUCAGCAUUUCACUAACAAGGACCGCACCAAUAACAGUGUAAGUUUCGAGAGUUUUU